RNAcentral lists this ribosomal RNA (891 nucleotides) under uncultured Bacillus sp. Its description in RNAcentral is "bacterial SSU rRNA". It matches the Rfam family "Bacterial small subunit ribosomal RNA", at positions 469 to 1387 of the family's 1533-position model. The record is from RNAcentral. Lineage: Bacteria; Bacillati; Bacillota; Bacilli; Caryophanales; Bacillaceae.
UUGGCGGUACCUCCCCCAGAUAGUCAGGGCCCCGUUCGUGCCAGCAGACGUUGUUUUAUGUAGCGUGGCUAGCCUUGUCGGGAAUUAUAGGGCGUAAAGCGCGCGCUGGGGGUUUUUUAAGUCUGAUGUGAAAGCCCCCCGUCUCUACCGGGGAGGGUCAUCGGAGACUGGGGAACUUGAGUGCAGCAGAGGAGAGUGGAUUUCCACGUGAAGCGGUGAAAUGAGUAUAGAUUUGGCGGAACACCUGCGGCGAAGGCGACUCUCUUUUCUGUAAUCGACGGGGGUUCCGGUUGCUUGGGGAGCGAACAGGUUUACAUAUCUCGGUUGUCCAUCCGUAAUCGAUGAGUGCUAAGUGUUUGAGGGUUUCCGCCCUUCAGUGCUGCAGCUAACGCCUUAAACUCUCGGCCUGGGGAGUACGGUCGCAAGAUUGAAAGUCAAGGGAUUGGAGGGGGGCCGCACAAGCGGUGGAGCAUGUGGUUUAAUUCGCACCAACGCGAAGAACCUUACCAGGUCCUGACAUCCUAUGACAACCCUCAGAAAGGUUUCCCCUUCGGGGGCAGAGGACAGGUGGUGCAUGGUCCUUGUCAAAGUUUCCUUGAGAUGUUGGGUUAAGUCCCGCAACGAGCUCAACCUUUGCUUUAGUUGCCAGCAUUCAGUUGGGCACUCUAAGGUGACUGCCGUUGACAAACCGGAGGAAGGUGGGGAUGACGUCAAAUCAUCAUUCCCUUUUUACUUGGGCUACACACCUCCUACAAUGGGCAGACCAAAGGGCACAGAAGCCGUGAGGGUAAACCAAUCCCACAAAUCAUUCUCAGUUUGGAUCGCAGUCUGCAACUCGAGUGCGUGAAGCUGGAAUCGCUAGUAAUCCCGAACGCCUUCCCGCCCCCUCCC